CGUUUAGGGGUAAACCUGAGAAGCCCGAAAGGUCGAAGGAAGAAAUUCAUUCGCGUGUCGAGGUUGACGUUGGAUUGCUUGUAAAACAAAUUCUGUGUAUUUGGGGUUUGUGCUUGUGAUUCUUCGAAACAAUUUCGAACGCGUGCACUUUUCUUCUGGUAGAACGUCGCGAUCCGUUGGGUGUUGGUCUACGACUUACAGUGGAGAUCAAAUGUUACACAUCAUUUUUUGGUGUGGACACGUUUGAACCUGUAUUGUUCCGACCAACUUGCUUGACGGUAUAAGAACGGUUUGGGGCCGCUCACUUCAUCAAGGAGCGUUUGACUCUAGGCAAGCGCGCCAGUUGUUUCGAGGAUUGGACUUUGUGCUGAUCGCGAUCACUGGUGACUGUUGGCCUGGAUGUUCUCAAACAGACCCUUAAAAAACCGAUCAGCGGCGCUAUAGCUUUGGGUACUUUCAGGACCCGUCUUGAAACACGGACCAAGGAGUCUAGCAUGUACGCGAGUCAUUGGGACUAAUUAAACCUAAAGGCAAAAUGAAAGUAAAAAUUCUCUUUACGGGAAUUAAGGGAGGACGGCUGUUACUUUAAAUAUUAAGGGCGGCUUGCACUCCCAGGGCGUCUCAUUCUCAUUGCGAGAAGAGGCGCACCAAGAGCGUACAUGCUGGGACCCGAAAGAUGGUGAACUAUGCCUGGUCAGGAUGAAGUCAGGGGAAACCCUGAUGGAGGUCCGUAGCGAUUCUGACGUGCAAAUCGAUCGUCGGAACUGGGUAUAGGGGCGAAAGACUAAUCGAACCAUC
This 798-nucleotide ribosomal RNA is filed under the name Scolytoplatypus unipilus. RNAcentral describes it as "LSU rRNA". It matches the Rfam family "Eukaryotic large subunit ribosomal RNA", at positions 406 to 944 of the family's 3401-position model. The record is from RNAcentral. Lineage: Eukaryota; Metazoa; Arthropoda; Insecta; Coleoptera; Curculionidae.